RNAcentral lists this ribosomal RNA (447 nucleotides) under uncultured bacterium. Its description in RNAcentral is "partial 16S ribosomal RNA". It matches the Rfam family "Bacterial small subunit ribosomal RNA", at positions 29 to 523 of the family's 1533-position model. The record is from RNAcentral.
AACGAACGCUGGCGGCAGGCCUAACACAUGCAAGUCGAACGCUCCGCAAGGGGAGUGGCACACGGGUGAGUAACGCGUGGGAAUCUACCUAUUAGUAAGGAAUAACAGUUGGAAACGACUGCUAAUACCUUAUACGCCCUACGGGGGAAAGAUUUAUCGCUAAUAGAUGAGCCCGCGUAAGAUUAGCUAGUUGGUGAGGUAAUGGCUCACCAAGGCUACGAUCUUUAGCUGGCCUGAGAGGAUGAUCAGCCACACUGGAACUGAGACACGGUCCAGACUCCUACGGGAGGCAGCAGUGGGGAAUAUUGGACAGUGGGCGAAAGCCUGAUCCAGCCAUGCCGCGUGAAUGAUGAAGGCCUUAGGGUUGUAAAGUUCUUUCGCCGCCGAGGAUAAUGACGGUAAGCGGAUAAGAAGCCCCGGCUAACUUCGUGCCAGCCGCCGCGGUAA